GGGGCUAUAGCUCAGUGGUAGAGCACUUGCCUUGCACUCGUGAAGCCCUGGGUUCUAUUCCCAGCACCA
This 69-nucleotide transfer RNA is filed under the name Ictidomys tridecemlineatus (thirteen-lined ground squirrel). RNAcentral describes it as "Spermophilus tridecemlineatus (thirteen-lined ground squirrel) tRNA". It matches the Rfam family "tRNA". Rfam says of the family: Transfer RNA (tRNA) molecules are approximately 80 nucleotides in length. Their secondary structure includes four short double-helical elements and three loops (D, anti-codon, and T loops). Lineage: Eukaryota; Metazoa; Chordata; Mammalia; Rodentia; Sciuridae. The record is from Rfam by way of RNAcentral.